CUACGGGCGGCUGCAGUAGGGAAUAUUGGACAAUGGGCGAAAGCCUGAUCCAGCAACACCGCGUGCACGAUGACGGCCUUCGGGUUGUAAAGUGCUUUUAGAGGAGAUGAGAAAGGACAGUAUCCUCUGAAUAAGCCUCGGCGAACUACGUGCCAGCAGCCGCGGUAAAACGUAGGAGGCAAGCGUUAUCCGGAUUUAUUGGGCGUAAAGCGCGUGCAGGCGGUCUAGCAAGUUGGAUGUGAAAGCUCCCGGCUCAACUGGGAGAGGUCGUUCAAUACUGUUAGACUAGAGAAUAGGGGAGGGAGGUGGAAUUCCGGGUGUAGUGGUGAAAUGCGUAGAUAUCCGGAGGAACACCAGUGGCGAAAGCGGCCUCCUGGACUAUUUCUGACGCUAAGACGCGAAAGCUAGAGUAGCAGACGGGAUUAGAUACCCGCGUAGUC
Molecule: ribosomal RNA, 440 nt
Filed under: uncultured bacterium
Lineage: Bacteria
Description: partial 16S ribosomal RNA
Rfam family: Bacterial small subunit ribosomal RNA
Source: RNAcentral